AUUGAACGCUGACGGCAGGCCUAACACAUGCAAGUCGAGCGGAUGAAGGGAGCUUGCUCCUGGAUUCAGCGGCGGACGGGUGAGUAAUGCCUAGGAAUCUGCCUGGUAGUGGGGGAUAACGUCCGGAAACGGGCGCUAAUACCGCAUACGUCCUGAGGGAGAAAGUGGGGGAUCUUCGGACCUCACGCUAUCAGAUGAGCCUAGGUCGGAUUAGCUAGUUGGUGGGGUAAAGGCCUACCAAGGCGACGAUCCGUAACUGGUCUGAGAGGAUGAUCAGUCACACUGGAACUGAGACACGGUCCAGACUCCUACGGGAGGCAGCAGUGGAGAAUAUUGGACAAUGGGCGAAAGCCUGAUCCAGCCAUGCCGCGUGUGUGAAGAAGGUCUUCGGAUUGUAAAGCACUUUAAGUUGGGAGGAAGGGCAGUAAGUUAAUACCUUGCUGUUUUGACGUUACCAACAGAAUAAGCACCGGCUAACUUCGUG
This 484-nucleotide ribosomal RNA is filed under the name uncultured bacterium. RNAcentral describes it as "partial 16S ribosomal RNA". It matches the Rfam family "Bacterial small subunit ribosomal RNA", at positions 30 to 507 of the family's 1533-position model. The record is from RNAcentral.